ACAAUCUUGACUGCAUUGUAUUCAGCUCAUCUUCGGCCUGAAGGUUUACAGCUCGACAUCAACUCCAGCCUCAGCGGAUCCAAAUCAGCUGCAGAAUCAUGGCUACAGUCUCCAUUGAAUAUUGUUCAGGAUGAGGUUACUCGUGGCGCUACCGGGAGCUUGCUGCUGUCCUGCAGCAGAUUCCUGGGGUGAAGCAGGUGACUGGAGCCACCGGGCGGUCAGGAAGCUUUGAGGUGUCAGUGGAUGGCUGUGUGAUCUACUCCAAGCUCAAGGAGGGAUCGUUUCCUCAAAAUGACAAGGUGGUGGAGAAGGUGAAGAAGUGCAUUAAAGCUGGGCAGAAAAAUCAAACCUCUCAUUAGAAGAUGGAGGUUAAAAGGUCUGCUGUAUUCACACUGCAAGAACAAUGGUUUGUUUCUUCUCAUGGUUCAGAACACAUCUGCUCACAGCUGCUUAUCUGAAUAUUAAAAUAAGACAUUAACAAAAAUGUCAUGUCAUUUUGGACCAAAAUCAAAACAAGUCAACCAUGAGAAGGUCAGAUCGUAUGUCUUCACUGUGAAUACAGACAAAGACGAGAAGAUGGCGAGGGCGUCUCUGAGGAGCCGGGCACUGAUCUGCACUUCUGUGUAUGAAUGUACGCACUAAAAGUCAUGCGGUGUGUACACGAUGAAAGUCCAGAAGCUCUUCAGCUGACUGAAGCCACAGGAACUGCUCUCGUCAUGUCCGUCUGGUAUUUACUCAUAAAUAUAUAUCGUCUCUACUGCUGCAUUACUCAGGAAUCUUUAUCAAGCCACUUCUAUUUUUUUCCAUAGUCAGCUUAGCAUAAAGAAUGGAAAUGGGAAACUCCUUCUUUUCUAACAUAUCAUAUAUAUACAAUUUAUAUUGAUACUUCCCUUAUAUGCUUUACUUCAAAUAAAUACAUGGACUAUCACCUGAAGAUGUUUUUUAAAUAGACUACUGCCAUCUGUUACAUUACCAGCUAAAAUAAACUAUAAAUCAAAGAAGAAUGUUGAAUCAACUUACAGUAUUGGUAUAAUACUAAAUUUUUAAUCAAUUCCAACAAAUUAUAAUUUCCUGAAGUGCAAUAAAAAAACUUUUAAAAAUCAA
Cyclopterus lumpus (lumpfish) is the source of this 1104-nucleotide long non-coding RNA. RefSeq lists it as uncharacterized. The record is from RefSeq and is a predicted model, not a curated record. Lineage: Eukaryota; Metazoa; Chordata; Actinopteri; Perciformes; Cyclopteridae. The transcript has 4 exons.